UCUCCGUUGGUGAACCAGCGGAGGGAUCAUUACCGAGUUUACAACUCCCAAACCCCUGUGAACUUAUACCUUUACUGUUGCUUCGGCGGGUCAUUGCCCCGGGGAAACGACAGGUGUGGCCGUCAGGUCCCCCCUGCCCGACCCCCCGGAAACAGGCGCCCGCCGGGGGACUCAAACUCUUAUGUAUUUUUGUUUACUGUAUACUGUCUGAGUAAAAAUUACAAAUGAAUCAAAACUUUCAACAACGGAUCUCUUGGUUCUG
RNAcentral lists this unclassified non-coding RNA (262 nucleotides) under plant metagenome. Its description in RNAcentral is "partial contains small subunit ribosomal RNA, internal transcribed spacer 1, and 5.8S ribosomal RNA". The record is from RNAcentral.